RNAcentral lists this ribosomal RNA (309 nucleotides) under uncultured bacterium. Its description in RNAcentral is "partial 16S ribosomal RNA". It matches the Rfam family "Bacterial small subunit ribosomal RNA", at positions 504 to 809 of the family's 1533-position model. The record is from RNAcentral.
AGAGACAGCAGCAGCCACGGUAAUACAGAGGGUGCGAGCGUUAAUCGGAUUUACUGGGCGUAAAGCGUGCGUAGGCGGCUUUUUAAGUCGGAUGUGAAAUCCCUGAGCUUAACUUAGGAAUUGCAUUCGAUACUGGGAAGCUAGAGUAUGGGAGAGGAUGGUAGAAUUCCAGGUGUAGCGGUGAAAUGCGUAGAGAUCUGGAGGAAUACCGAUGGCGAAGGCAGCCAUCUGGCCUAAUACUGACGCUGAGGUACGAAAGCAUGGGGAGCAAACAGGAUUAGAGACCCCUGUAGUCCCUGUCUCUUAUAA